UGGCUGCAACAGAGUGGAAGUUUCUUCCUUUGAUUUAACAAGAAUCUUAGCAGAAGAAUGAGUAGAGAAAUUCUUUUAAAAAGUUGGAGUAGGAAGGAAAGAUAGGGUUAUAUUGUAUUGUAUGGUUGCUUGCUUGCUUUCUCUUAGAAAUAAAAAGAAGUUUGUUACUUUUUCCUGUGUAUUCAUUCAUUUUCCAUUGAACCAGAUGCUGCUGAAAAAUGUGUGAUGAACAAAUACAGAAGUCUGGAUGGGUCGGGUCGGUUCGGUUCGGUAUUUCCAGCAAGGCAAUUAAAACUGAGAAAA
This 303-nucleotide long non-coding RNA is filed under the name Linum usitatissimum (flax). RNAcentral describes it as "long non-coding RNA (LUSI_LNC001146)". Lineage: Eukaryota; Viridiplantae; Streptophyta; Magnoliopsida; Malpighiales; Linaceae. The record is from RNAcentral.